AGAGUUUGAUCCUGGCUCAGAUUGAACGCUGGCGGCAUGCCUUACACAUGCAAGUCGAACGGUAACGCGGGGGCAACCCUGGCGACGAGUGGCGAACGGGUGAGUAAUACAUCGGAACAUAUCCAGUAGCGGGGGAUAACCUAUCGAAAGAUGGACUAAUACCGCAUACGAUCUACGGAUGAAAGCAGGGGACCGCAAGGCCUUGCACUAUUGGAGUGGCCGAUGUCGGAUUAGCUAGUUGGUGGGGUAAAGGCUUACCAAGGCGACGAUCCGUAGCUGGUCUGAGAGGACGAUCAGCCACACUGGAACUGAGACACGGUCCAGACUCCUACGGGAGGCAGCAGUGGGGAAUUUUGGACAAUGGGCGCAAGCCUGAUCCAGCCAUGCCGCGUGAGUGAAGAAGGCCUUCGGGUUGUAAAGCUCUUUCGGUGAAGACGAAACGGUUAGCGCUAAUAACGCUGACUAAUGACGGUACUCACAGAAGAAGCACCGGCUAACUACGUGCCAGCAGCCGCGGUAAUACGUAGGGUGCAGGCGUUAAUCGGAAUUACUGGGCGUAAAGCGUGCGCAGGCGGUUUGCUAAGACAGGUGUGAAAUCCCCGGGCUUAACCUGGGAAUUGCGCUUGUAACUGGCAAGCUAGAGUGUGGCAGAGGGGGGUGGAAUUCCACGUGUAGCAGUGAAAUGCGUAGAUAUGUGGAGGAACACCGAUGGCGAAGGCAGCCCCCUGGGUUAACACUGACGCUCAUGCACGAAAGCGUGGGGAGCAAACAGGAUUAGAUACCCUGGUAGUCCACGCCCUAAACUAUGUCAACUAGUUGUCGGGGAAGAAAUUCCUUGGUAACGAAGCUAACGCGUGAAGUUGACCGCCUGGGGAGUACGGCCGCAAGGUUAAAACUCAAAGGAAUUGACGGGGACCCGCACAAGCGGUGGAUUAUGUGGAUUAAUUCGAUGCAACGCGAAAAACCUUACCUACCCUUGACAUGCUAGGAAGCCCGCAGAGAUGUGGGUGUGCCCGAAAGGGAACCUAGACACAGGUGCUGCAUGGCUGUCGUCAGCUCGUGUCGUGAGAUGUUGGGUUAAGUCCCGCAACGAGCGCAACCCUUGCCAUUAGUUGCUACAUUCAGUUGGGCACUCUAAUGGGACCGCCGGUGACAAACCGGAGGAAGGUGGGGAUGACGUCAAGUCCUCAUGGCCCUUAUGGGUAGGGCUUCACACGUAAUACAAUGGUCGGUACAGGGGCUGCCAACCCGCAAGGGGGAGCUAAUCCCAGAAAGCCGAUCGUAGUCCGGAUUGUAGUCUGCAACUCGACUGCAUGAAGCCGGAAUCGCUAGUAAUCGCGGAUCAGCAUGUCGCGGUGAAUACGUUCCCGGGUCUUGUACACACCGCCCGUCACACCAUGGGAGUGGGUUCCACCAGAAGUAGUUAGCCUAACCGCAAGGAGGGCGAUUACCACGGUGAGAUUCAUGACUGGGGUGAAGUCGUAACAAGGUA
This 1492-nucleotide ribosomal RNA is filed under the name metagenome. RNAcentral's name for it is "bacterial SSU rRNA". It matches the Rfam family "Bacterial small subunit ribosomal RNA". The record is from RNAcentral.